RNAcentral lists this small RNA (126 nucleotides) under Salmonella enterica. RNAcentral's name for it is "RtT sRNA". It matches the Rfam family "RtT RNA". Rfam says of the family: This family represents a bacterial cis-regulatory element known as RtT RNA. The exact function of RtT is unknown although it is thought that it may be involved in changing the cellular response in relation to amino acid starvation. The record is from RNAcentral. Lineage: Bacteria; Pseudomonadati; Pseudomonadota; Gammaproteobacteria; Enterobacterales; Enterobacteriaceae.
UAUCUCUCUGUACAGGGAAGGAUGAGAAUCUUCGAUUAAGGUUCGAUUCGAGCGCAGCGAGAGAACGUUGCCAACGGCAACGGCCCGAAGGGCGCGACGCGCCGAGUCAUCCUUCCCCCACCAUAA